UAUCCUUAAAAGAAAUGAGAAUAACACAUUGAGAUAUUGUACUCCAAAAUGUGAUCUAUAGAAUUCAUAUCUGUGAGAAGAUACAUUUAAUUUUCCAAGGUAAUUUUCAAAAGGCAAAAAUUAGAUGUAUAAGUUAAACUAUAUACAGAGAGACUAAGAUAUUUUAAUUUAUUUUAUCAUAAUAGCAGCAAGGCAGUGUGAUAGAGAGUUAUCUUGUAGAAUUAAUUAUUGCCCUUUUCCCUGAAAGUUUUAUGGUGGCUUUGGCUUUCAUUGGACCAAAGCAGCCAGAGAACAUUAUUCUCUGACAACAUUUUAUUCUACAUUUAUUUAUAUCUGUUCUCUCUCAGGCAGAAUGGAAGUCCUUGAAAGUCAAGGUGAACAGGUGAAACCAGUGCAAGGCAGAGCAGUGGAUCAGUUCUCAGUGUGUUAAAUAAAUGUGCCACAAGAGUAAGUGCUCAUAGAGUACACAGCGGGAGUGCGUUUCCAAUGAAUUUGAUAGUUUGAUCUAGUAGAGGGCAAAAAUUUGCUUUAGAGUGGGGAAGAAAAUAGUCACAAUUACCUUCAUUCCUGAAUUUUUUGCUGGAAUGCUCCUGAUGUGAAAAUACCCUCUCUGCUCUCACACACCACUUGUUUUCUCACUGCAGUGGCACAGCAGUCUACGGUUCAUGGGGGUGCCGCUCAGCUCUCAAACCCCACUCUCUGUGUGCUGAGCUCUCAGUAGCUCGUACACUGUCCCAGCAGGAUUUCACAGCUUGUUUACAUCUGCAGAUAUGUUACAUGCCCAAUCCCAAGGAAGGCUUGAUAGCUAAACACAGGAAAAGAGACCUGGAGAAAGGCUGGGUAGGGGGCAGCCAGUGAGGAACAUUUACUCAUGAUUUUUAAAUUUGUCUCAAGCUUUCUCCACACUCUGUGUGGGCACAAGGAAAGGGCAGGUUGGAUACUGACUCUGACCUGGUCUUAGUGACAACCACACCUUCACAGGGCCAGCCUGUUCUUCAGAAGAGUGCUGUAUUUUCCAGGUUUUCUCCAUUUUAUUUUAAAGCUCUUCACAGAUAAUUUUCUAACAGUAAGAUAAUUUUAACAUCAUCAAUGACUUUCAAAGUUUUAUUACCAAUAAUAUCGUUAUUGUUGUUAUUAUUGUUGUGUCAUUGUUAUUUAGUUUGACAUAAAUUUGGAGACAAAACACUCUUCCACAGCUACAGGUAAAGAGGAAUGGAAAGCAGUACCAGGAAUGGUGAGUAAACCAGAAUUGUCAGUCUUUCGCUGUGGGUCGUGCUGGGAGAUGGGAGGGGAUGACUGUGCGGUUUUAUAGGUUUUUUUUCUUUUCAUCUAAGGAGAUCGCUGAACAAAGGGCUGUUCCUGUGCUCACUGUAGAUGUGCACUAUACCCAAGUACUGGAAGAAGUAUUUACCUGUUGGUUUUCAGCUCAUAACACUCCCAGAUUAGUGCAGGUUCCUUUUGUCAUCUGCCUUUAAACCCAGUGAAUAUUCAUCAGCAACGUUGAGGCAAAGAAAAAGGCUGCAUGAUUAAUUCUGCUUUCAACACUGGAUGUGAAAGUUUGCCUAGAAAGCCCCUGUGUGGAAUGGCAGCAGAGAAGAGCAAGAAGUGCCUGCUUUUUGUGAGGAGGAACACACUGUGCUGCUUGCCCUGCCACAGCCACAGAGCUCUCACCAGCAGUCAUUCAACUCCUUAGCCUAUGAGUGUGCCAAGAUCCAGAGUUAUCCCAGGUAAUGAGCGAGUUGAGAGGAAGUGGUACCCUUUGUGGUUCCUGUCUUUCUUUCCCAUCAUUUUCUUACCCUACAGCCUGACUGAACUUGUGGGAUGCUUAUAUUGAAAUCAGAGGAAAAUUCUCAGCAGGCUGAGAUCCCACUGACACCUGUUUCUCUCUUGUCCAUGCCAGAGGCCUGCACGAGGACCUGUACUAGGAGACAGUCCUUGAAAUCCAGGUGGAGUCAUGUCUUUCCUGUGUUAGCUGUGGUUGUUCCUCAGAGGCUAUAGGAAACAUUUCCUAUAGCAUAAUCCUGAAUUCAUGAGCAUGCAAUAACCAUUCUCACUGUCCUGUCUGCUUACUCAGAAGCCUUCUGAAAUACACAGUGUCUUCCCAAAAGCACGGGUUUCAGGUUGCCAUUUCUUAUCCUUGUCUUCAAUUCCCAUUUCAUUGCUCAAACCCAGGAAAUUCCGUUUGACUAGAAGGUAGCUGUUUCUUGAAGUAACAUGAAGAAAAGCAUACAGUUCUUAGUUCAGAAAAAUAUGAAAAAUCCCUUGCUUCCCACUGUAAAUCUCUUGCAGUAAUUAAUAGGUGAGUUAGAGGUAUAAAUGCCUUCUUUCUAGUUUGAUUUUUGGUCUGGCUACAGAUUUCAGCUUGAUGUUAUUUUUAUCCACAAGACAAAGAGUGCUUUGGCACCUGGUGUUUUCCUCUCAUGAUUGUACAUCUGUAUUCCAACCUUGAAUAUUUUUUUAGAAGCUGAACAGAUUGGCUCCUUAGAGUCUAAUCAUUUUAUGGCACUUUCUCGUUCCCAAGUAGGAGCUGAAAUUUUUUUUGCACACGUUCUCCAGAUUUUCAGUAGACUGUAGAAAAUGUGGACAUCAAAAGUAAAUAAAUUAUUCAAUUAUUAGUGUCCUUCAAAUGAUGUACAGCAAUAUUACCUCCUGAGGAGAAAGCCCUGUGGGCUGCAUUGAGCCUAGAGCAUCCCCUGCUGCUCUGGGCUUGGGAUGGCACUCCCAGGCAGGGAACUGCUGUGGAGUUUGUUCUGUGUGAGGCAAUCUUUUAUUCCUUAGGUGUUGUUUACUCUUAGAAAGAAAAAAAACCCCAAACACUCAAGUUUGAAAAUAUCCCAUAAACAGGGUUUAAUGUUUUCUCACAGCAUUUCCAUUCUCUGUCUCAACCCCUAAAGCCAUUUUAUAAAAGCCGCCUGUGCAAAGCAGAAGGGGAAAAUGUAGAAAAGAAAAAGGAUACAGAAUAAACUUUCUCAUUAUAUUUUAUAUCCCAUAAUGUGCUCACAGCAGCCAUGUCUGUAUGUCUAAUUCAGGAAAAAUACACCAGUCUUUCUCUGAGGAUUAUAGUUUCAAAAAUCACUUUUACCUAUUUCCUGAUUCCAGAGGGUAGGCUCUAUUUAAUUCCCCCUAAUUGAAAUUAGAGAUAUUAUGUUUAUUCAGAUAUAGCCCUCAGGGUCUCAUGCAAAGCAGGAAUGUUUCAGUGGUUGCAUUUCCCAACAGAACUCGUUGAAGAUCUUAGAGGUGAGUAAUCAGUGCCAUAAAAUAGCUGCUCCAUUUUUAUAGUUAUGGGCAAAUCUUUGUUCUGGUUUUCCUGGCUCCAAGUGCAAUGUGCUGGUCUGUCACUGCUGAAUGAGGAAAUUCACUCAAUCUCUCUUCUAAUUCCAGAAUUAUUCAGUCUGUAAUUGCCUACUGAUACUAUUUCCCCAAAGAUCAUUUAUUUUAUACUGUGUUUUUUCACCAAGCACUUUCAGAACAUGUAAACAGAAGUAGAGUUGCAGUACAAGGGAGUCAGUACUGCUGGAAACAUUAACAGCUUUGAUAAUGAAAGCAGAGCAGGUCUGAGAGUUUAUAGUUCCUGCUGUGCAUGGGUCCAGGUGAGAGAUACACUGGCAUAAAGGAGCAUUUGGGGAAUUACUGAGGUAGGUGUGACAGCAGUAAGCCAAGAUUGUUCAUUACGGGGAGGGUAGAUGGAAGGAAGGCCAGUUCGGGUGUAAAGUUAUCAAUGCUUUUCUUGUAUUCCCAGUGGAAAUGCCAUAUCAGGGACUCUAUUCUGUAUUGUCUCCCAAGACAGAAGACUUCCCAAAGUAUCAAAGUGUGUGCUGAGAUUUAUCCUGCAACACUGUAACCUUAGUUUACCUUAAAGAAACAAUGGAAAACAAGCCUUUUAUUGUCCACUGCAUUUACUCACCAUGCCAUCUUUAGCAUCUCCCACCCAUUAUCACCACCUUGGGUUUCUCCUGAUUCACCCAGCCCUCAAAUCUGUCAGCCUUCCCUGGGAUUGUACCAGUCUUUGUUGUUGUGUUCCCUUGCAGUUUGGAUUUCUUUUCCUUGGAAGCAGCAGUGCUGUUCCCAGCAGUGCAGGCUGUGUGCUGGCCCUGUGAGUGUGUCAGUUUUUAAGCGAUGCGGAUGUUUCCUGACCCGUAAUACGCAAUAAACAGGUUACCCUCUGGAUGGAAGAUUAAAUCCAUGCUUUUGUUAGCAAGUUGAAGCACAGGCUUUAGCUAAAUUAACCCAAAUGCCUUUGCCUGGCCAUCUGUUUCCAACGGAAAUGAAUCUUGAGCUUUAAUUAUAAAUCUCUUAUAAAUAUUAUUUUUCUUUUCUAUCCCAAUCUGCCCUUUUGGAGAUUGGUUGAGCUCUCCUUGUGUCGUCUGAAAGGUGGGUGGGAUCACCAGCGUGGCUCAUGGUGUGAUUCAUUUUUUCUAUUAGCCUUCCUGUUAAUGACUUUAAAUCUAUUUAUGCUCUUGCUGCAAGUUGAAGCAAAAAUCUGUGUUACCAAACCAUGUUCAUAAAUUUGCUACUGAUACGUGUUAUGAAGCAGUCUAAGUACAAACAUGUUAAACCUUAUGGAAAAUCUGCCCCAACCUGGCUGAAUUGUUCCAAUGUUUAAUUACCCAGAUUGUUAGAACUGUACACCCUCUUUCUAAUUGUUUUUCUAAUUCUAAUUUCCUGGUCUAGCCCUCAUAUCAUCUUAUAAUUCUUUAUGUUCCCCAUGAAGGUGUGCUUAGAUUGAAACCAAACAGAAAAAACUCCUAGUCCAGGUGCUGCUCUCCAACAAAACAUUACUCAUCUAAGUAAGGAUUUGUCAUUAAAAUGCUGUUUAGUUUAUUAUUUUUUUCCAAAGAAAGGGUGAAGUAAUUCUCUUUAAGUUAAAUGGGCGACAGGGAGGGGAACGCAGAGCACUCUGCACUGGGGUGUCAGAGGAGUCCUUGGUGGGAUCCCCUCUGGAGCUCAUCCCUUUUUCCUGGCAGGUAAAGGGGAGGUAUUCACAUCUCAUGCAGUGCAGGGCAGCAACUCCUUAUUGUGACCAAAAAAGAAAAGCAAAGCUCACUGAGUUACGCAUGCUGGCACCUUUUCCAGCCCUGCUGGGGAACUUGGCCCUUGCUAGUCGGCACAAAGACCUUGAGCAAGAGAGGAACCUUUUCCUGCCAAGCUUUCCUCCCCAGCAGAGGCCGACUUGCAGCAGCACAGCAUGGAGAUGAGUCAGUGCAGGAUGGACGUGGGUAAACUCUGUUAGCCCACCUCUGCAGAGACAGCUGCAUUUAUUGCUUCACCCCAGAACCACUGAGCUGGGAGGGUGUUCAACAGCCAGCACUGAAAUCCUGGGAUAUGUGCUGGUCUUCUGCUCCACCUCUUACCCCUGCCACGUUCAGUUCCCAUCCCUCCUGCGCAGCUCUUGGUGCUUGCCAUCAGUUAGGCUUGUUCUCUUCCUUCCAAAAGGAUUUCUAGUUUAGAAGGGUGCCAGCUUGCCUUUUGAUCUUCUUGAAGGUGCAUUCUCUCCAGAAUGACCAGAGUAACUUCUAUCAAAACAGGCUUUAUUCAGACAUUCUCAUAGCUGUGGCUUUGUUUGAGUCACCAUCACUGGAGGGGUUUAAAAGCUGUGUAGAUGUGGCAGGAGGGGACACAGUUAGUGGUGACCUUUCUGCCACUGUUAAAUCAGCCCACGGGUUUUCUUCCUGUAUGAUUUUGCUCUGCUGAGUGCUUGUACAGAAAAUGUAUCUACACUAAGUACUUAAGUUCAGUGAGUGAAAAUGAUUCAGUCUGAUCUGUUCUCAUUCCUGCCCAAGCUGUGUUCUUCCCUGAGAAAUACAAUAUUUAUUUUCAUAUUCCUCACAAAUACUGUGGCAGUGACUUCUUCCUUCAGCAUUCCUCAUAGAGAAGUUUAGCAGCAGCUCCUGUGAAGAAAAGGCAUCUGAGAAGCAUGAGAUAAAAGGUGAGAUUGUAUCUAGUACCAGUUCCAGCUCUCUGCACCUCUGAGAGAAUAAUAAUCAGUCCUUGGAAUAAGGGAAGAUGCUCCAAGGAUUGUUCAGCUGGACCUCUAAGUUUCUGGGCUGUGAAAUGUAGAAUAAAAUAGAAGCAGAAGAUAGAAGAUAAUGACAGAGUUCCCCUCAAAUGAAGGCUCUGGCUUUACAUACUCAGCCUCUGGGAAAAGAUAUAGACAGAACUGGUUUAUAAACAGGAAAAAUGCCGGUUCUUCAUCCAGUUUUGAAUAAAGAACUCCAAAUAACAGAAGCAUUUGUGUGGAUUUUUAUGUGAGCAGAUGACUUUAAUGUAUUCUCAAUCACUGUCUAUGUGUAUAUUUAGAACAAAAACAGAUAUUUAGGCAACAACAGAUAAUCCAAGACACUUGUAACUGUUAUGACGCAAUGUUAGCAAAGUUACUCUCACAGUAACACAAAUAGUUGCAUUAAGUCUCCUGACUUCUGGACUUUGGGCACCUCUGCUUUUCCAUCCAUAAAUCCUCCUGAAUCAGUGACCUCUGGGUGUUGAUGGCUCAUGUUAGGCUCUCUCUACAUACCAGCCUUGGGAAAUGAAGCCUGGAAUAUUUGUGCUGUGGCUGGGGAUGCGAGAAGUAUGCUCAGGCUCGUUAAAUCUGCAGGACUUGGAAGCUGUGCCUGUGGUGACACCACAGACAAUGUUCCACAUGAAACCCAAGCACUGGAACUCCUUGGCACAAGGCACAUGCGAGCGCUCAGGAGCAGUUCCAGAGCCGACUCCAACAUGUCUCCUUGUUUUUCAGCUGCUGACCAAGAGGUGCUUUGUACAAAAAAAAAGUCAGACAUGAAACAGAUGUCCUCGGGGAAGCUGGGGAUGGAAAUAGCUCUCAUGUGAGGCAUCACACACACAUGGACUGGAGGCUGCUUUGGGAAUUUCUCCAGAGACCAACGACCUUUCCUGCAGGUUGUGGGGAGCUGUCAGAUGUGGAGUUCUUAUAGAGGAUAACAUCCAUACAUGUCUUCAUUUCCCCAGGCUAAGAGAGGACAGUGCUUUUUCAAAACAUGGAUAAGCCAGCUAUGCUACUGUAUCACUUCAGUUGUUUCCAGCUAUAGGCAGAGAUCCAGACACAUUCUGGAUCAGUAAGAUGAAUCCUGGAUUCCAAAAGAAGGAACCUUUUCCUUUAAGCCUGCUCUUUUCUUCAGUCUAACACAACUAACCUGAAAUACUCUUAUUUCUUUUAAACUCUGCUUCUCAAUUGCUUUUGAAUUGCUUUCAUCUAAAGUGCGAAAUUCCAAGUCACUGCAAAAAAGCUGUCUGAGGAAUAUUCUUGGCAGUACUGCUAGCAGAGAGUACAGGAAACCUCACAAGAGUUGGUUCCAGCAGCACUGCCAUCCACGUUUCACAGCUGCAGGGACAUUCAGAGCAAAUCCAAACACUGCCUUUCCCUUCAGCAGAGCCACAGUUACCCAGGACACGUCCCUGGAAAUGUCCAGUGCCAGGUUGGAUGGGGAUUGGAGCAACCUGGUCCAGUGGAAGGUGUCCCUGCCCAUGGCAGGGGGUGGAUUGGAUGGUCUGUAAGGUCUCUUCUGAGCCAAACUGUUCUGUGGGCCUGUGAAAACACUUGCAGGCAGCCCCUUGAGCUGCUUGGUGUAUUGGCCUCAUCUGUGCAUGGAGCACAUUUUCUGUUACUGGUGCAAGUUCUUGAGUAUCACCUUAUCUAAAAUGUCCUUGAGAUGGAAGACGUCCUCAGCACCUCAUUUUGGCCAUAUAGUAAACCUGAGGAAAUACCCUAGAUAUUUAAUAUUUAAGAUAUUUUCAUAUUCUAAGGGUAUUUCAGGAAUAGGAGAUACCAUUUUAUUGCAAUAAAUUACUUUAAAACAGAAAAUAGUAAUCAUGUAAAAGGAAUGUAGACUCAACAAAUACUUGAAUGCACUAAAUAAUCCUCUUUAAAAAUUUUCCUGAUUGUCCUGACCUUUUCUUUUUGUCACUUAGCUGAUCUGCAUGUUAUGAGAUACCAGUUGAAUUGGGUGCACAAACAAUUAAACCCAGCUCCCAAGCCUUUCAGAAUGACUGAAGUAAAAGCAGAUGACAGUUGAGAGAUAGCUAUGCAGUAGUAUUCACUGUUCAGGAAAUAAUACAUAGCAAGCUAUAGAGAGCUCUGGGGAAAACACUAGGAAGAGGGAGUAUACAUUUUUUUCCAGUUAUUAUAUUAUCUUCCAAAAAAACAAAUUGCACACAUACUAUGUAGUAAGUAAACGUAGCACAUGGUUAAAAAAAAAAAAAGUCCUGUAAAAAUGUCAGCAUUCAAAGAAAAUUAUUUCUUGUACCCUAAUGCACACACAUACACGCAUGACCAAGAGCCAGCUUUUGUGGUAAAUAGUAGCUUUCUUUACAGGUUUUUAUUUAGUAAGUUUGAAAUCUCUGAAUUAUGCCAUAUUGCUCAACUUACAAAAAAUCCCUUUUGGUCUCCUAAUCCACCUGCUUUGGCAACCCACCCUGGCUGCAGAGGGCUGAGAGCUUGCUUCUCAUGCAGGAAUCACAACUUGGGUCUUAUUUAUUCACUUAUUUCUCACACAUCCUACCCUCUUGCUAAUGCUUUUUUCACGGCUGCACAUUUUUUAGAGACUUCAGUUAAGUUCCUUGUCAAGUAUUAGUGAAGUAUGAAAAUCACUAAAGUGAUUAGACAGAGAUAUAAUUUACUCAACAUAUUCAAGAUAAAAGAGACCAAAUAACCUUUUUUGCUCCCAGAAUGGAUUUAACAUCACAAAGAAGGAACAUAUGGUUUCAUCUUUUGCUAAGGUAUUACUUUUAUUCUUUUUCCUUUGCCUUUUUUUUUUGGAUGUAAAAUAAAUAAUCCAUGCAGAAAAUGGAAAGUAACGGUGUAAGGACUGAAAACUCUAAAUCAAGCAAUGGGUCAUGGAAGCAGAACUAUGUGGAGGUGAAGGGCACCCUCAGGACUUAUUUACAUGUAUCUAGAUAAUUUACUUUAGUUUUAAGAGACUGCUUGAGUCCAAUUACAGUCACUUUGCAUUGAUGUAACUGUCACACUUGAUUUGUGUACACAGUGAUUGUACAAAAUCACACACAGGUGAAAUGUGGCCUGACAGCUCCCUUGUAACUCCAGGAAAGGUUUGCUCUGUACCAUUUAUUUUGCUGUGACUUGGAAACUGAUAGGAAGGUGCAGGUGGGAUGGGUACCUGUGGGCACUCUGUAUGUCCUGUUAGUGAUGCUGCUUGCUGGCUCUGACUUCCCACUCCAGGGCUGAACCAGAGGCUUGGCAGUGUGUGAGCAAGGAGAAUCCAGGUACAAUGUGAAAGCAGCACCUUAAUGCAGCAAAAGCCCCAAGCAGCUCCUCAGGAUUUGGUGGUGUGGAGUGCAAUAGCCAAGGCAAGGAGUUGGAACAGGCAAAAGUUGCCCCCCAUUCUCCUCCACCACAUAUGGAGAAAUGCUUGGAAAAAUUUGGCCCAUCCCAGUGAAACCCUGAGAAAUUUCCAGGCAGGUAGCGAAGAAGGGAUUGACAUUGACACUAAUGAGAAGGAGGUACUGCCAUGGUUUGCCCAAAAAUGAGACGGAAUGUUUUCUCCUGAGGGAUUUGCAUUGGAAACAGGCAAAAGGCAUCAAGAAGGGCUGAUGAGAUAUCCCCCAAAUAAUAAUUAUAGUCAGAUUUAGACAUGUAAUUUUAAGUAAUGCAUAGAUUUUGGCUCUACCAUAUUUAAAGAAGAGAAAAUCCAAUCUGAAAAGCUGCCAGGGGGUGGAACAGCCUGAUCUGAACAGCCCUGAAGAGCCAUUCAAGGAUGACAGGGAAAAGAAAAACCUGUCUUCUGAUCAGAGCCUGAAACCAAUGACUGAGAGAGGAUGCAGCUGCACUCUGAACACAGAAAUGGUAUUAACAGCAUUUGGGGACAAGCUUAAUGGAAAUUAAAGGAUAACACUGGAGCUGAACAAAUGGCUCCAAGCUGAAAAUGGCUGAAAUUGGGAAGGUGAUGAGAGAAACAAUACAACCAGAAUCCUGUCUCCACAACCUGAAGUGGAAGAAAACAUUUUACAUCAUGGAUAAACUCAUUUGUCUUCUGUGGAUGGGAGAGCUAUUGUUGUUUAUACUUCCAGGGAAGACAAGUACAGAGGGGUGAAGCACAACUAUGUCCACAAAGAUGCAAUGCAGAACAGAAACCUGGAUCAAUAUUCAGUCAGACCCUGUAAUUAUGAGCUUAUUUUGUACUGAUUGAUGGUACAUCUACUACAACUCCCUGUGUAUCCUGCUGAUCCUUGUUUUUCCCAAGAUAAGGCAGCCCAAGCCUUCUGGUUGGUGAGUGCAUGUAACUAAUGUGUGUCUAUUGUCUAGUAAUAUCUGUUACCAUUUCCUGCUGGAUUGAUACCUAUUUCAUUUAAUGUAUCUUUAGUGAUCUCUGGUAAAUUAUUUUCUAAGAGAGAAACUGAGAAGCUACUUCUCUACAGGGAUAUUAUCCAGGAAAUGCAGUAUUUUUGUUUCCUCUGGAUUCUACUAGGUGUUUUUUUCUUUUAAUAAAUGGAAAGACCUCCCUGUAAUUCAGAAUAAAAAAAAAAAAAUUGUAGAAAUCAGGAUGGGGAAGGAGCUUUUGUCAGUUGGAGGAGAUGUUGCUUAUUUCACUCACCUGACCCAAAUGUAAGCCAGAAGCAAACACUUUGCACUUUCAUGUGUGUCUGGGGAGGAUGUAGGCUGAGAACUGAUGGGAUCCUCUUUAAUUUGCUUGAUAAACUGAGAAUGAAUAGUAGAGCUCAUUAGAGCAGCCCUUGGUACCAUGAAACCAGGGAGAGCAAGAGAGAGGACAAGAGGAAACUGCUUCAAGUUGAACCAGAGGAGGUUUAGGUGGAAUAUUAGGAAAAUUUUUUCAUGGGAAAGGUCGUCCAUCCCUGGCACAGGUUGCCAGGGAAGUGUUGGAGUCACUGUCCCUGUAGAAAUUUAAAAGACAAAUAGGUGUGGUGAUUAGAGAUGUGGUUUGGAAGUUGUGCAUAUCCUUAUUCUUAUUCUGUUUUUAUUCUUGCCAUGAGCACUCCCUGCUGUCUGGGUCAAGAAACCAGCUGCUGCAUUUCACCUCUACUUCAGUUUAAAGACUCCAUGGUCUCACAGUUGUGCUCUUCUCAAAACUCAUCUUCUUCUCAGUCAAAAGUGUCUCAUAUGUACUGGUUUCUUUAAAAUCUUCCCCUUUUCUGACCAAAUAUUUUGUCUUCAGUUCAGUCUGUCCUAACUUUUGUCAUUAAAAUGUUUCCCUUUUCUCACCCCCUGACCAUGUUCCCCUACUUCUAAAAUCUCAACGCUGACUUAUUUCCGCUGUAAAAUUCCAGCCUGCCUCUUUAUCAGUUCUGGGUAACUCUGUUAGUGUUCCCUCCUCUUGGAAAGCCCUUUCAUCUCCAGUGCUGGGAAUACCUGUCGUUGGGAAGCAGGGGGUGUUGUUAUUAAUUUCCUUCUUCAACUUCCUUCAUUGAAAGGAUGCUCCGAAUCUGAAACGUGUGGUAGAUGAAACUGCUUGGAGUCACCUCCCCCAUUUUUUUUUAGGAAAUGCCUGGAAAUGUGUACAGAACACCCACUCAAAGCAUUCCAAAUGAAGACUCGGCACAAUUUCAGUGCUGGCCUGCGAAUGCGGGCUCCUGUGUUUCCUGCUUCCUUUGCAGCCCUGGCAGCCUCUCUGGAGUGUGUCAGCCAAGAUCAUACUUAGUUCCUCACCUUGAUGAGAUUGAGGUUGUCACAGCCAGCUUUUCCACGUGCAUAUCUUUCUCUUGGUUCUAUGUGGCAAGGUAAUAGAAAUCAGUCCUACCAGGCCAGGGAAAUGCACACACUUCCCAGAGUCUGUCACCGCUGAACCAAAAGUAACAAACCCCUGAGAACUUGGAAGGAGAACCAUUUAUCCUUUCUGAGUCAGCCAAUCACACAGGGUUCAAGACUGGUGCUCAAACUUCCAGAAAUCAUAGAAUCAUGGAGUCACAGAAUGGUUUGGGUUGGAAGGGAUCUCAAAGCUCAUCUCAUUCCAGACUCCCGCCAUGGGCAGGGACACCUUCCAUAGACCAGGUUGCUCCAAGCCCCAGAAAACGUUUAAUUCACAGCUUGAAAUAUCUUUUUUUAGUAAUGUUUAUAUUUCAAAUCCAUGUCAUGAAAGCCAGUGGCAAAAGGUCUUAUUCAUGGAGUGUUACUGACUCUAAUUGCUUGUAAGAAGAACUGUGUAAAUAAUGGAAUAUUUUGUUUGCUAAGAAUUCAUUAAGAAUUACUCAGCUCAAAAUAGCCAGGACAAGUGCAGUAAAAAGAAAUCACUCUCUUCACAAGCGUUAUUUCAAAGGUGUAUUUUUAAGAAUACUCAAAAUUAAAAAAAAAAAAAGAAACUUGAAUCCUAUCAGAGCAUUCCUUGUUUCUUUCCAGUGCAAACAAAUGAAAGCAUCUCUUUUGCUCAGCCUGUAUUUUUGUCCUUGCCCCACACAGAAAAAUAAAAACAUAAGACAUUAUUUUUUCAUUUCUGUCUCCCUGUGGUGCUUCCAGAGGCAGGAGUUAAGUGGCCAGCAAUGCCUCCCAGCCUGUCAGCAGUGAUGCUUUUUUAGGCCAGAGAGAACCUUUGGUCUCCUGGAUAGCAAGAGCGUGACAGAAUCCCUGAGCUAUCAAAUCAGUUAUUCUGCCAGCAUCUUUCUGGUUCACUGAGGAGUAAAUUAAUCCCACCUAGGAGUGCUCCAGCAGCAGAGGCAGGGACAGCACACACACUGCCCUGCUCAGGCAGCGAGGUGCUUGCCAGGAGUGUAAGCCAUGGAUAAAUAAUUCCUUUUCUUUGGGGAGCCUUCAAGGAUCUACUUCUCUGAGCACUGAUGCACACAUGGUGGGACAGCAGCAGUGAGGGAGCUUUUCCAGGGGGAGGAAACAAGCCCUGGGGCAGGUGCAGCAGCUCCACCGUGGACCUCCACAAUCCACCACAGUCCAGGUGUGUCUGGGGCUGGCACCAGCUUCUGGAGUCAGCCCUGGUCGGGAGGUGGUGGUGAGGGAGCUGCUCCAGCAGAAGGCCUUGGGACAGCUUCAGGUCACCCUCAUCACUUGGAAAGGAGGAGCGAGUUUCUAGCACGAUGUCACCAGUCCUUCUGCGCCCCAGAAGCUUUACCUGUCAAAGUUCUGCAGCUCCAGUGAGAAAAUAAGAGGUACAACGUGUGGUGCAGCAGAGCAUUCCACACUGAGCAGAAAUCUGUGCUUCCAGUUCCAGCUGUUACAAUGAACUGCAAACCCAUGCAUUUUCUGUGUGAUUUCUCUCAGUUGAUCCUCUUUUUUACCCUGUUCUUACAUCUUUCCUGGUUUCCACACACAUUUUUGGUCUGUUCAUUGCUUUACUGCAGUUAUGUACCUCUGACUGCUCCAAUGUUGUCCAUUAGUUUCCCCAAGGCAGUAGGUGCUUUGUCCCAGGAAUAUGUGCAGCCCUGGGAAGGACCAAGAUUCCUGUUAUGCUCAUAAAGUGAGUACUUAUUUAAACCCCAGAUUACUCAGAUUUUCUGGGCAUUUUCUGCCUAGGCCUCUAUUGUAAGCGGCUGUUGCAUUUGUUCACAAAUGGAACAUACAUUAUUCCUAGCAGCCCUCAUAAUGAGCAGUACACACAAAUGACCUCUUGGAAGCUCUCUUCACUCCUGCAAAACAUAAGAAAAUUGAAAAACUGUAUUUGCAAGGUGAGAAAUAAAAUGAAAACCUCACUUUGGCUGUCUAAAAGUAAAGUCAUAUGAAGCAAGACCUCACUGAAUAGCAAACUCUUAAAUACAAUUUCCUUUGCCACAAUAAAUGUUUCAGUAUAAGGUUGAAUAUACAGUUCAUUCCACUUAGCUGUAACAUUUUGUUCAACUUCAGGAACUUUUAAGUGAACAACUUCAGUUUUUUACAGGCUUAAACUGCUCUCUUGAAAAUCUUCUGGAGAAGAAAAAUGUGCCCUGGGAUGGUUUUAAGCAUUUUUUUGUUCAUUGUUGAGAUCGGAUGUUCUUCAACAACAGAUAAAUUGUUUCUGUGGCCUUAAUAGAAAUCUGAAGCUCUACCCAGCAUUUAGAACUUCACCUCAUGGACCAGAUCCUUGGCUGCCAUCCUUCCUACUUUGGUCUGCUCAGGAGGAAUUUGGGGAAUGUACGAAAUGUUUAAACGACAGCUACAAAUUAAGGUUGUCUUUCAGCUCAAGAGGGAACUGCAAUUAAGACAUGAUUGUUAUAAGGAGAAAAAACCCUCUCAGCUGAAGUGUUUCCAAGCUACUCAUCACUUCCCUAAUGCUUCUCUUAUGGAAAUUCAUCUAGUCCUGUGAUAUCGAUCUUGUAAACAAAUACUUUCUUUCCUUACCUCCUGCGAUAAAAUUUGUACUUGAUAUUUCUCUAGGAACUCCUGGGUCCCUCCUUGUCUUUUUUCAGAUUGGGAAACGUGAAACCAAAAAAAUAAAAAAGGAUUGUAAAAAAUGAA
Oenanthe melanoleuca is the source of this 14359-nucleotide long non-coding RNA. RefSeq lists it as uncharacterized. The transcript has 8 exons. The record is from RefSeq and is a predicted model, not a curated record. Lineage: Eukaryota; Metazoa; Chordata; Aves; Passeriformes; Muscicapidae.